This 465-nucleotide ribosomal RNA is filed under the name Vreelandella stevensii. RNAcentral's name for it is "partial 16S ribosomal RNA". It matches the Rfam family "Bacterial small subunit ribosomal RNA", at positions 338 to 795 of the family's 1533-position model. Lineage: Bacteria; Pseudomonadati; Pseudomonadota; Gammaproteobacteria; Oceanospirillales; Halomonadaceae. The record is from RNAcentral.
CCUACGGGGGGCAGCAGUGGGGAAUAUUGGACAAUGGGGGCAACCCUGAUCCAGCCAUGCCGCGUGUGUGAAGAAGGCCCUCGGGUUGUAAAGCACUUUCAGUGAGGAAGAACGCCUGGUGGUUAAUACCCAUCAGGAAAGACAUCACUCACAGAAGAAGCACCGGCUAACUCCGUGCCAGCAGCCGCGGUAAUACGGAGGGUGCGAGCGUUAAUCGGAAUUACUGGGCGUAAAGCGCGCGUAGGUGGCUUGAUAAGCCGGUUGUGAAAGCCCCGGGCUCAACCUGGGAACGGCAUCCGGAACUGUCAAGCUAGAGUGCAGGAGAGGAAGGUAGAAUUCCCGGUGUAGCGGUGAAAUGCGUAGAGAUCGGGAGGAAUACCAGUGGCGAAGGCGGCCUUCUGGACUGACACUGACACUGAGGUGCGAAAUCGUGGGUAGCAAACAGGAUUAGAUACCCCGGUAGUC